Long non-coding RNA from Bombus terrestris (buff-tailed bumblebee), 821 nucleotides. RefSeq lists it as uncharacterized. Lineage: Eukaryota; Metazoa; Arthropoda; Insecta; Hymenoptera; Apidae. The record is from RefSeq and is a predicted model, not a curated record. The transcript has 3 exons.
GGAAGUUUUCGUGAAGCGACGGAGCCAUCAAAUUAUUUAGAAUCGUCAAGUCCCAUGCAAGAAGCACAGACUGGAAGAAAUCUGUAAGAAAGUACAAAAUAUUGUAUACAAUUUGUUAUUAUGGACAGCGUUAAUUAUUUGUAUUGCAUCUCGAGACACUUUUCAAAUUAAACACAAGCGAAAAGUAAAGCGCGUUUCAUUUGUCAACGAAACGAUUUCUCUCCAAAGACAUGCUUGCUCUUCGAUAGACCAAACAGUUCUGUCAUCGAAUCGUUUCGAUCGAGAGUUCGAGCGGAAAUGCUGAUUGGCUAAUUAGCGAGCGCAAAACCCAAUUAGUAUGCUCGUUGAACGUCAAUUCCGUCCAAAAUUCGAGCAGUCCUUUUCGGAGAAGGUCGUGAUAAAAAAGAUGUCAAGAAUAUCGGACGAACGCCAGACUUCGAGGCUUUUAUUUAUAACAGGUAUAAUAGAAUAUAGAGUUAGUCCUUUGCAUACGAGGAUCAUGAUCUCAUAACGAUCUUACACCGGUGACGCUGUGCGAUUUGGAAAGUAUAGACGUGUUUCUAAAACGAAAAUUUUAACUUCUUUUUGCGCAUCAAGCAGUAUAUAUAAAAAUUAUAAACAAGUUGAUAUUUAUUUUCUAAAAUUAGAAAUAUUACUAUUGCAGAUUUCCACCAUUUCAAAUGUAUAUUUCGCUCUUAAAAGCUGCCUUUACUGGCAAAUUCGGUUUUAAAAACGAUAUCUUUACUUUCUUACUUUAAAUAUAUUAUGUUCUAUAAAAUUAUCCAUAAAAAUUAAAAAUAAAGGUAAAAAUUAAACCUAAA